AUGCCUUUUGGGUUAACUAAUGCACCUAGUACUUUCAUGAGGUUAAUGAACGAAGUUUUACGUGCUUUCAUUGGACGAUUUGUGGUAGUUUACUUUGAUGACAUAUUGAUUUAUAGCAAAUCUUUGGAGGAACAUUUGGAACAUUUACGUGUUGUUUUUAUUGCUCUACGUGAUGCACGUUUGUUUGGAAACCUUGGAAAGUGCACCUUUUGCACCGACCGAGUAUCUUUUCUUGGCUAUGUUGUUACUCCACAGGGAAUUGAAGUUGAUAAAGCCAAGAUUGAAGCUAUUGAGAGUUGGCCGCAGCCCAAAACGGUCACACAAGUGAGGAGUUUCCUUGGCCUCGCU
This 348-nucleotide ribosomal RNA is filed under the name Triticum aestivum (bread wheat). Its description in RNAcentral is "partial small subunit ribosomal RNA". Lineage: Eukaryota; Viridiplantae; Streptophyta; Magnoliopsida; Poales; Poaceae. The record is from RNAcentral.